Non-coding RNA from Paramuricea clavata, 587 nucleotides. Lineage: Eukaryota; Metazoa; Cnidaria; Anthozoa; Malacalcyonacea; Plexauridae. The record is from the annotation of a GenBank genome assembly.
UGUUCAUCAUAACAGAGCGAGCGUUGAUUUAUUGAUAGAAUUUUAAGCUUAAGAAUUGCUAAAGGCUCCAAAGCAAUAAUAGAGAUGUUCAUGUUUGACUUCCACUACCGCUACCUUUCAAAGGCUCAAUACGCAUCAACCUCGUUCCCAGGCUUUUUCCUCCACAAGAGGAAAACGAACACUCUGUACAACACACACCUCUGCAUGUACAACGGAUAGUUAGCUUAUUAAUUAAAAUCUUUUAAAUAGAAACCUGUAAACAACAGAUAACACUAGCCUCCUCUGAAGGCAUGCCUUUAGGUUGGUGGGCAGAAUUUGAUUGCAGGCAACAUUCUAACUCCAAGCAACCCAGGUGAACUACGACGUGCCUGCGGAGGAGGCUGAGAUACCUCCAAACAAUGGACAGCUGCAGUGACACCAUUCUAAGUACAAACUGAAAAUAUGCGAGUAUAAAAACUACCUUCAUAUAUAGGACAUUUAUAGAGAUUCAGGCUUAUAAACUUUACUGGUAAAAAUCUGGAAGAAAUCGCUGAUUUUAAAAAAUUAAUUUUUGGUUUUACUUCAUAUUUUACUAAUUUACUUUGUGG